UAUGGAACCAUCAUCAGGCUCUACAUUUAUACUAACAUAUGAUAGGUAAGAUACGGUACAAGGAGGCCGGUUUUACUCCAUCAACCUGAGAUUAUUUAACAGGACAGAGCUCAUUGAUGUUCCAAUUCCUUUUGGAAGUCUGCAUCAUCGACAAGGACAGUCUUCCAACCAUCAGGAUCCAGAAAGGAAACAAUUUUUGUGCCG
This 204-nucleotide unclassified non-coding RNA is filed under the name Hevea brasiliensis (rubber tree). Lineage: Eukaryota; Viridiplantae; Streptophyta; Magnoliopsida; Malpighiales; Euphorbiaceae. The record is from RNAcentral.